ACACAGAGAGAUGGAGAAUGGGAGCUAUUUUGCAGUUUGCUGUACAAGCCACGGCAGACUGCACAUGGAUAGUUGCACCACUGCACGCCCUAGUGUAUGAUACAACAGAGGCACAGACAGGCUUACUCAGAUCACAUUGCCAGUGAAUAAUGGAUCCAGGAUUCAAGUUGGCAUUUUGACCCAAAUCUGCAGCCUUAACCAUGAUGACACACUGUCCCUGUAUGUAUUAUUUCUAAUGCUGCCUGACGCACAUAUUCUAG
Molecule: long non-coding RNA, 260 nt
Filed under: Homo sapiens (human)
Lineage: Eukaryota; Metazoa; Chordata; Mammalia; Primates; Hominidae
Description: HSALNT0311139
Source: RNAcentral